Molecule: transfer RNA, 73 nt
Filed under: Stereum hirsutum FP-91666 SS1
Lineage: Eukaryota; Fungi; Basidiomycota; Agaricomycetes; Russulales; Stereaceae
Description: tRNA-Ile (AAT) (tRNA-Ile-AAT-3-1)
Source: RNAcentral
GACCCGGUGGCAUAGUCGGUUAUGCGUUUGUCCAAUAGACAAAAUAUCCUCAGUUCGAGUCUGAGCCGGGUCG